This 462-nucleotide ribosomal RNA is filed under the name uncultured bacterium. RNAcentral describes it as "partial 16S ribosomal RNA". It matches the Rfam family "Bacterial small subunit ribosomal RNA", at positions 28 to 507 of the family's 1533-position model. The record is from RNAcentral.
GACGAACGCUGGCGGCGUGCUUAACACAUGCAAGUCGAGCGGAAAGGCCCUUCGGGGUACUCGAGCGGCGAACGGGUGAGUAACACGUGAGUAACCUGCCCCAGACUUUGGGAUAACCCUCGGAAACGGGGGCUAAUACCGGAUACGACACAGCUUCGCAUGGGGUCUGUGUGGAAAGUUUUUCGGGUUGGGAUGGGCUCGCGGCCUAUCAGCUUGUUGGUGGGGUGAUGGCCUACCAAGGCGACGACGGGUAGCCGGCCUGAGAGGGCGACCGGCCACACUGGGACUGCGACACGGCCCAGACUCCUACGGGAGGCAGCAGUGGGGAAUAUUGCACAAUGGGCGGAAGCCUGAUGCAGCGACGCCGCGUGAGGGAUGACGGCCUUCGGGUUGUAAACCUCUUUCAGCAGGGACGAAGCGUAAGUGACGGUACCUGCAGAAGAAGCGCCGGCCAACUACGUG